RNAcentral lists this ribosomal RNA (264 nucleotides) under uncultured Oscillospiraceae bacterium. RNAcentral describes it as "partial 16S ribosomal RNA". It matches the Rfam family "Bacterial small subunit ribosomal RNA", at positions 77 to 339 of the family's 1533-position model. The record is from RNAcentral. Lineage: Bacteria; Bacillati; Bacillota; Clostridia; Eubacteriales; Oscillospiraceae.
UUGCUUCAUCUUAGCUGAGUGGCGGACGGGUGAGUAACGCGUGAGUAACCUGCCUCAAAGAGGGGGAUAACGUCUGGAAACGGACGCUAAUACCGCAUAACAUAUCGUUGUGGCAUCACAAUGAUAUCAAAGGAGCAAUCCGCUUUGAGAUGGACUCGCGUCCAAUUAGCUAGUUGGUGAGGUAACGGCCCACCAAGGCGACGAUUGGUAGCCGGACUGAGAGGUUGAACGGCCACAUUGGGACUGAGACACGGCCCAGACUCC